UACGAAGGGGGCUAGCGUUGCUCGGAAUUACUGGGCGUACAGGGCACGUAGGCGGCUUCUUAAGUCGGUGGUGAAAUCCUGGAGCUCAACUCCAGAACUGCCUUCGAUACUGGGAAGCUCGAGUCCGGGAGAGGUGAGUGGAACUGCGAGUGUAGAGGUGAAAUGCGUAGAUAUUCGCAAGAACACCAGAGGCGAAGGCGGGUACCUGGACAAUUACUGACGCUCAGGCACGAAAGCAUGGGGAGCAAACGGG
RNAcentral lists this ribosomal RNA (253 nucleotides) under uncultured bacterium. RNAcentral's name for it is "partial 16S ribosomal RNA". It matches the Rfam family "Bacterial small subunit ribosomal RNA", at positions 524 to 776 of the family's 1533-position model. The record is from RNAcentral.